UGGCUCAGAUGGUAAAGUGUCUGCCUGCAAUGCAGGAGACCCAGGUUCGAUCCCUGG
RNAcentral lists this transfer RNA (57 nucleotides) under Muntiacus reevesi (Reeves' muntjac). It matches the Rfam family "tRNA", at positions 8 to 63 of the family's 71-position model. From Rfam's summary of the family: Transfer RNA (tRNA) molecules are approximately 80 nucleotides in length. Their secondary structure includes four short double-helical elements and three loops (D, anti-codon, and T loops). Further hydrogen bonds mediate the characteristic L-shaped molecular structure. tRNAs have two regions of fundamental functional importance: the anti-codon, which is responsible for specific mRNA codon recognition, and the 3' end, to which the tRNAs corresponding amino acid is attached (by aminoacyl-tRNA synthetases). tRNAs cope with the degeneracy of the genetic code in two manners: having more than one tRNA (with a specific anti-codon) for a particular amino acid; and 'wobble' base-pairing, i.e. permitting non-standard base-pairing at the 3rd anti-codon position. RNAcentral also lists the same sequence under 2 other names. The record is from Rfam by way of RNAcentral. Lineage: Eukaryota; Metazoa; Chordata; Mammalia; Artiodactyla; Cervidae.